RNAcentral lists this non-coding RNA (133 nucleotides) under uncultured Eubacterium sp. RNAcentral describes it as "FMN riboswitch (RFN element)". It matches the Rfam family "FMN riboswitch aptamer (RFN element)". Rfam says of the family: The RFN element is a highly conserved domain that is found frequently in the 5'-untranslated regions of prokaryotic mRNAs that encode for flavin mononucleotide (FMN) biosynthesis and transport proteins. The record is from RNAcentral. Lineage: Bacteria; Bacillati; Bacillota; Clostridia; Eubacteriales; Eubacteriaceae.
UAUUUUCAGGGCGGGGCGAAAUUCCCCACCGGCAGUAAGAAGAAUGAGUUACUUCAAAGUCUGCGAACCGCUUCACGCGGCCGAAUCGGUGAAAUUCCGAUACCGACGGUUAAAGUCCGGAUGAGAGAAAAUG